This 723-nucleotide ribosomal RNA is filed under the name Escherichia coli. RNAcentral's name for it is "partial 23S ribosomal RNA". It matches the Rfam family "Bacterial large subunit ribosomal RNA", at positions 141 to 905 of the family's 2925-position model. The record is from RNAcentral. Lineage: Bacteria; Pseudomonadati; Pseudomonadota; Gammaproteobacteria; Enterobacterales; Enterobacteriaceae.
CGACACACUAUCAUUAACUGAAUCCAUAGGUUAAUGAGGCGAACCGGGGGAACUGAAACAUCUAAGUACCCCGAGGAAAAGAAAUCAACCGAGAUUCCCCCAGUAGCGGCGAGCGAACGGGGAGCAGCCCAGAGCCUGAAUCAGUAUGUGUGUUAGUGGAAGCGUCUGGAAAGGCGCGCGAUACAGGGUGACAGCCCCGUACACAAAAAUGCACAUGCUGUGAGCUCGAUGAGUAGGGCGGGACACGUGGUAUCCUGUCUGAAUAUGGGGGGACCAUCCUCCAAGGCUAAAUACUCCUGACUGACCGAUAGUGAACCAGUACCGUGAGGGAAAGGCGAAAAGAACCCCGGCGAGGGGAGUGAAAAAGAACCUGAAACCGUGUACGUACAAGCAGUGGGAGCACGCUUAGGCGUGUGACUGCGUACCUUUUGUAUAAUGGGUCAGCGACUUAUAUUCUGUAGCAAGGUUAACCGAAUAGGGGAGCCGAAGGGAAACCGAGUCUUAACUGGGCGUUAAGUUGCAGGGUAUAGACCCGAAACCCGGUGAUCUAGCCAUGGGCAGGUUGAAGGUUGGGUAACACUAACUGGAGGACCGAACCGACUAAUGUUGAAAAAUUAGCGGAUGACUUGUGGCUGGGGGUGAAAGGCCAAUCAAACCGGGAGAUAGCUGGUUCUCCCCGAAAGCUAUUUAGGUAGCGCCUCGUGAAUUCAUCUCCGGGGGUAG